GUCUCAUUCUGACUGGAUUCAGAUAUCUGAUAUUUUGGCAGUUUCUACUAUUUUCCAGAUUGUUGAUAUUUGUGAAAGCUGCUAACAAUGGAAAAGUGCAUCUGGACACUUGGGAAGGAACAACACUGCACAACUGUUCCUCCUGCAGCUGUCAGGCUGCAGCUCAGGGGUGCAAUUUCAAAGCUGGUAGUGGGCUUUCCCUUGGAGAAGUUGCAUGACACGGUGGAAUGUCUUUCUUCUUUAUAUCUGUGUUGGCUAAAGGAAGACAGAGGAGCUUGAAAAGGCUCGCCCUCCUCAAGGAACGCUAUCUGAUUUGUAAGCAUUCCUAGAGGUUAAGGCUGGUGACUAUCAAGAAAGCAAAUACUUCACGCAAGGCUGGGAAAACGCAAUGCAUAUAAAAUCCAGAUGGAUACCAAAUGAUGCUGGAACCAGCCCCGGCCAAUCAGCCAUGUCACUUUGAUUGGAGGAAACCUAUAAGCAUUUAAGCAAAAAUCCAAACCCAACAAGAUAGUAAGAGCAGCAAACUGGCUUCACUCUGGGGUUUCAUCAGAGCUCUGGCCUCCCCACACAUUACUGAAAGGUCCAGCGUCAGGACAUACUCAGGACAUCUCCCAGAAGCUCCAAAACAAUUUGCUUUUGGACUUUGAGACCAUGAAACCAGAGGGACCAAAUACAGUCCCUCAGAGCAGAGUGGAUAUUCCUCCUUCAUUGCUCAUAGUCCUAUUUGUCUGUCUUCUAAAGAAGCGAACACAUCUGCUGGGGGGUUGAAGGAGCCAGGAGUGUCUGAAGCAGUUCGACGAAGCCCUAGGACUUGCUGGUGCUUUUUGGAUUUCCUGGUGGACCAUUCAGAGUGGGAGAGAAGGAAAUAUCCUGCACCACUGCUCGCCUUUCGAAUACAUUUGAAAAUACCUGCCAUGGAACAUUGUGUCCCUGUUUGCUUUUCACACUGACGGUGGCCAGAGCUCAAGUUACAAGUAUAUCAAGUUGCCUCUAAGAACACCAAAGAAUAAAACUGUGAUGCUUCCAAGUGAAGCUGGAGUUUCCAACAAACCUUGUACAAUUCCUCGCCUGCGAUAUUUCUGCAGCUUGGUAUUCUCCCCUCCACAAAACUGUUAGAUGCCCUCAAUGGAUGAUAGAGAGCAAAGAUGUGCAUAUAUUCAGGUUGAAGUCAAGGAAUGAAAAUGAUCUACCAUGGACAAGUGUUUCCUCUGGUAGCAAUGUGGUAAAAAAGCAGCAGCACUGAUGACCCCUGAUUAAGCUUGUCCAGCAUCUCUGAUAUCACACAACAGUUACCCUGAUACAAGAGCUGAAUUGACUGAGAAAAAUAACUGGACACGACCAAGAUAACAAUCAUAAUAAUUCAUCCUUCCAUUUCGGUUUGAAAAGGAGGUAACUAUUCCUGACGUGAACAGACCAGAAAAAAGUGACUUUCCCAAGAUCAUCCAACAGUAUAUGGACUGGGGUCCAAAUUGCCAGGAUCCUACCCAGUACUGUCUCCCCAUUAGGUCACAGAGGAGAUCUUCAGCUUUCAGUGACAAUUCCCAUUGCAGUGAUCUUUGGGAUUGCCUAACAGCAACCAACCUGAGUCAGUGUUGAAAAUAAAGGAAUAAUUUGCUCCAGAAGGUUCUGAAAGCAAGUGCAGAAAAAAUUUGGCUGUAGUGCCUGUAAUGUCGUAUCCUACUGUCCCGAUUUCCCAUCUGGAAUGACAGUAAAGGGAGCUGAGAAGUUACCAUGGUGGCUGCAAUAAGAACCGACUGCUUUUCCCUGUCUGGAAGCCAUCUGAUCUGUUUUGCAUUCAAAGCCUUCGCUGGAAGGAGUUAUGGCUCUGUGAAUAUUAUUGUGUUCUUAGUCAUACAUUUAUUAGAUAUGAAAUAUUUUCACUGAGUACUUCUUAGAACCAUUACAGAGCAAUUUAACACUUUUAUAUGCUUUAGCCAGUCUUAUUCUUUGUCUUCGUGACUCUGACUAUCCCUUUCCCUCUCCCAAAGAAAAGAAGAUGAUGAUUUAAUCUAGGAGACAUGCUGAGGGCACCAACAGAUGUGGUUUUGCUGCUCCACACUCUGACUCAGGGUCUUUUCCAAAUCCCCAGAUGAAGUCAAUGCAACUGUUUCAUUGCUUCAGAAGGGGUUUGGGUGAGGCUUUUUUCAUGAUACUGGGAAAGGACUUUGCCCCCUCUGCUGAACACACACUGUUAUGAAAUAGGGAUGGCACUGGGAACCCGUGUUUGAACUGCUUGCCUGGGAGCUGCCAUCGGACAAACCACAUGUUACGAUGAUGGAGAAGGAAACAGUUAAUGGUCCAGUCACUAUUAAUAUAGGUUAAAAACAAGUAACUUUUGUUUAUAUUUCAUUGUUGUUUAAAGUACUCAGAACUAAAAAAGGAAAAAUCUGAUGAAUAUGCUGUGUUUACAUUGACUUAGUUCCCAUUCACAUUUUCCUGACACGAAGAAAUACCUCCUCAGCUCAGAAACAUGGGAGAAAGCUUCAGACGUCAGAGGGAAAGUUUCUUUUGCGUGAGGGCUCUGUUUUGCAAUUUUUCAGGCCCCAAGCAUGAUGCAGGAGUCAUUUCUCAGGCCCCAUUAUGGCUGCUCCAAGGAUGCCUGGCACUGGGGGGAUUGUGUGUGGAGCUGGACAUGUUUGCAAGACCCUUUGGAGGCUGCUCAUGGUCCCAGAGAGGGGACAAAGACAUGCUGACCCCACGGGGGGCUGGUGGUAGCCAAGACGAGGAGGUUGGUGCCUGGCUGCCCAGCUCGGAGGUGCUGUGCUUUGCUUUGCUGCUGGGGGAUUCCUGGUCCCUCCCCACCACUCCGCGUGUCCCUGCCUGCUCGCCGAGUCCUCCGGCUCCAUUGAUUUAUUUAUUUCUUCACGCAGAGCUCUCCGAGAUCAACCCCGAGCCACUGGCAGGCUCCGGGACAGGCAGCCGAGGAGGAGAGCAGCGAGCUCUUAAAAGUGAGGCUCUCCAGCCGUCGCAGGAGGCAGCCGUGCCAAAACAAGGAAUGAUUGCCUAGCCCUGCUUUUGCAAGGUUUUACAGCUCCGUUCACACUUCCAUCUGUCUCCCUCCCCCCUUCCCUGUUUCCCCCCCUCUCUUCCCCUCUCUCUUUUUCUGUCGGAUGCUUCAAGGAAAAGAAAAUUUAUGGAAGUGGUUCCAAGAGCUGUUUUCUCUGCCUUGGUGCUAGUCAGUGCAUGCUCCUGGCUGGCUCAGCCCUCCCUUCUCUCUGCCCGGCUCCAAAACUCCUUCACCUCACACAAAAGAUAGAUCAUGUUACCCUUCAUUAGCUGCCUUCUGAGCCCCGGCCCCCAGAGUUGGUGAGUGCAUCCUUAAAAGUGCCAGGUACGUGCAGCUCCCUGCCCCCUGCACCUCCUCUGUAGGAUAAAAUUCCCUUUCCAGGUUCCCACCCUGAGAAAAAUGUGAAUUUCAAGUUUUUUCCAAGACAAAAAAAGUAAGUGAUGUUAUCUAUCUGUGAAUGGACAAGUGGUAGGAAACACGGGUUGUCUUCUUUUCUGUUUUAAUCAGCAAAUUGCUUAAUAAAUGUAAGGUAAUAAAUCAGAACAGUGGCACAUGCUUGGUUUUGAGGAUAGGCUGCCUGAGUGGCACCAUGCUUGUCCUACAUUCCCAGAGCCAGUUUCAGGCAUGGUCCAACAGGGAAGGCAGGAUCCCCACUCCCUCCCAUCUCUUUUGCCUCAUUUUGCCGGAAAAGCAGCUCAAAUGUCAUGGACAGCAAAAUUAAUUUUGCUGGGACUUUCGAACUUGCAGUGGUCACCCAAGCCCAAGCAGCAGCUGCAAAAGGCAGUUCUCCUGCCCUCCACCUCCUGUCCCACUCCUUGUUCGUUUGCGUCUUUGUCUCCCUCGUUUUCUCCCUGCAUCUCACUCCAGGCCUUUCUGACCUCGGUAUUGCUCUGUCAGUGCUAAGACUGCAAAGAGAAAAACUUGAAAACUCUGAUUCAGACUCUAAUCUUGGUUCUGUGCUCCUCUUCUAAACCCUGAUGGCCAUUUUUGUCUAGAGCUGUAUCCUGAUCUCAGCAAUUUUAAGAAUUCAGAGUUGUUCACUGCCUCCUUUCCACUGGCUCAAACACAGAUCAAACCUGGAUUUCAGGGUCUGAAUUUUCUCGUACAUAUUUCUGUGUUCAGACUAGGAUCUUGAAUGACAGGAAUUGGUGACAGCGAUUUUCUGAAGAUGAACUGAUAGCUUAAAAAUGGAGUGACAACUCUGAUGGGCCCUGAAUCUGGGGACAUUUGUAGUGUCCUCUCCAGGACUGACAGGCUGAGAGAUACAGCACUAGUAUAAAAACAAGCCUGUUUUUAAAGGUUUGUCUCUUGGCCUUCCCUCCUUGGUGAUGUCUCACCUACGAUACAGCCAGUGACUCAUCCUUCAAUUAUUGUUGCUGUCAUUCUGGUCCAAAUUGCUCGGAGGAAGGGAAAUACUGACAGAGACACUUUGGGAGAUUAAAAUACCCAUGUCUGCGAUGCUUUAUAACAGCUUUGCUAUAAGGAACCCGCUUUCUCCAUGAUUACUUUGUUAUGAAUUCACUUGUGUAACACAUUCUUGGAACAGCACCAUUUGUUUCUGGAACAAGGAAUCAGCGACAGGAGAUUCAUUAUAGACGGGGAAUAUUUUCUUUAGAGAAAAGCUGUCAGGUCAAGUCAGGCUUUUAUGUUGCUGUUUGUAAAACAAGGUGUUUACAUACCUGUAAACCUGCCAUGUAUUUUUUUUCCUUCUGACGAAAGUCAUCUUUAGAAAUGUAGGUGGAAACGGUUCUUUGGCACUGAAAGCAGAGCGAGAGCAGGAAAGGCCAAGCUGUCACACUUCCUUGCCCUUUCCUCCCCUUACAAGGUGCCAGCCCCCCCCCCGGGAAUGUGCCCAGGGUGCUGAUCACCCCAAAUCCCAGGAAUGUGCAAUGUGCACCCUUCACUGUCCAAAGCACCCUGGCUCUGCCCCUGCUGCAACAUCACCUGAAGAGAGGGUGCAGCCUGGUGCCUGCAGCCUCCCUUCUGCCAAUCCCUACAUCUGUCCCCAGGACCAUGGGAGAAACCACUCUUUGUCACAAGGUUAAUAAUUAAGAUACUCCAGCUGAUAAAUAGAAGUGCUAAGAACUCGGUGUGCUGCAUAUCCCUCCUCUGCAGGCAGCUACUCAAUUCUUUUAUCUAGAUUAUCAUCUCUGAAGGAAAGUAUAAUUUGGCAAUCAUGGUCAAAGUGUUUAGACAAUUCAGUCAAUGGAAAACCCUGAGGCAAAAAGACAACUAAAACAAAAACAUGAAGACAGAGGGAUGUAAGAGGAGAGCAAAUCCCACUCAAUUUUGUCUUUAGACAAAAUCUCUCUUGCCCAUGGUGAACGCACAAGGCCUCCCAAAGACGGAGGAAAGCAGGCUUCCUAGAUAACAACAGAAAUUAAUCUAGAAAUUAGAUGCUCAAAUCAGAAAGAGGAAAGCUGCAAACCAGGCAGGAUCUCUGCACUUCUGCUUUCCUUACUCCGUGGCUGGUGGAGUUGUCAUUGGAUGUUUUAAUUCUGGAGUGAACACUUCUGUCCCCUAAUUUACCCUGUCAUUUGCCCACCCCCAGGAAAACAAAAUUUGUGUUCAGAUAAACACAGACUAACUCCCAAGCCUACACAGACUAUUUAAUUAAGAGUUUCCAAGUGGAAACCACACAUUAUUUCCUCAAAUUAAGGGACCCUCCAUUCUGCUCUAGGGACAAACAGAAAUCAGGAGGCAAGGGGCCGGGCCAUAUCCUGAACUCCCAUUCCCUCAAGAGCAUCAACUAUCAGACUGUGCAAACACAGACAUGUGCCUCUGAUGGGAAAAAUCAAACCAGAGGGCUUUGCAGGCAGAGGGCUGGAAAUGCCUGUCUCCUCCACGGCCAAAAACCUGGAGUGCGGCCAGGCUCCACUGAUCUGACUGCUGAGGAGAGGAAAGAGCUGUAAGCCAGCAAUUAGUAAUUCUGCUACUAACAGGAAAGAUUGCUGGGAAGCAUAAAUGGGAUUGCUGUUUAUAUGAGAGUUAGUGAAGGAAGUGGUGUUGCUGGUGGCUGGGGGCUUUUCAGAAAGCUGCCUUACCCGGGGAAGGAUGCGGUUUGUCAGAAUCACAGCCCCUGGGUGAGGAAGAGCUUCAUGCACAGAGGUUUGGGACUGGUUUUAUGGAUUUACAUCACUUAUAUUAUCACUUCCAGUCCAAAUGUGCAUUAUUAAACUGCAUAGCAUAAGAGGUAACACAUAAUCCUUUGGUACACCCCGAGUUUUAUUCUUACAUUGUGGUGCACAGGGGAAAAAUCUUGGACUUUCUGAACGAUUGGUUUUUAUUUUUCUCAGGAACACAGCUCACCCACAGAGAUCCCUGCAGUUUUUGAAGGGAUAGGUGCUUUUCCAAGCAGCAUGAAAAAUAAAAUCACGAAUGAUGCACUACUUAGUCAUAAUAAGCACAGAAUUAAGAAACAAGGAAGAUAGUAUAAGCUUUGGGAAGGGAACCAGUUUGUUUGUGCAAAUGGUAAAGCAAGGAAAUAUACCUCUAGAAGAAUUUCAGUAUUACUUAAUUAUCCAGAGGUCUGAGAUGAAGAGAAAAAAAGGCCUAGAAAAUGACCUGACUUCUAGUUUUCACCAACUUCAUUCUCUGCUGUUGUCAGUCACCUUCUGCUUCUCUUUUAGUGGAGCAGUUUCUCUGAAAAUCAAAGGACUGUGCUGUUAGUGCAGAAAGGUGUGGGCACAGUGACCCCUUUUUAGGAGGUAGACAGAAGCCAGGGGUAACUGGAAACAAAACAGUGGAUAAGCAUUUUGGCAUGUGUAAGAAAAUAAACUCUAAAAUGCAGAAAGUAAAAAUGGGGAAUUCUUUCUAAAUUUCCUAUUUAUUUAUCUAUCUAUCCAUCCAUUUAUCCCCAGGAAAGAGAAUGCAUUUCACAUGGGGCAAGAUGGAAAAUGAGUAAUCAGAGCAAAAUUAAAAUUUUCACCAAGUUCUUAGAAAUGAGGGAUGUUCAUUUAUUAUUACUACUAAAAAUGAAUGACAUUAGGCUGGAGGAAGGUGACAAAAGCAUUCCUCUUGGAACAUCACAUCCUGGAUUUCAUUGCACAUGUACAUUUGAAUUCGGUCUCUUAAAUAUGUCAGCCGUGUGCCCACUGGAACUCACAACUCUGUGUUGUUUGGCCAGUCCAUCUAACCACUGAAUUAAAGGGUAAUACAGACGUGCUGUGGGAUGCAGGAAUUAUUGGUGAUGACAUGUAUCACACUGGGAGCAAUGGGGCAGAGUGACAACAUAACACGAGGAGAAAAUUGUCUCUGACAUGCCCUUUGCUUUCUUUAAUGGCAUAUAAUUUCUGGUCCAAAUUAAGUAAGGACCUCCAGUGCUAUUUGACAGUACCUGGAGGAGACAACCUUAAAAAUUUGCCAGUUUUGCCUUAGAUAAAUAGAUAGAGUUUCUUCAGUGCUCCUUGCACUUCCUCCUACUUAGUUUAGAGUGCUCCCAAUCUCAGGCAGUGAUAUUUAGCUCUCUAGCAACUGGCAAGUUUUAAAGGAUCAUUGUAUGUUUUCAUGCUCAAGUGAUAAAUCUGGAGGUGAGUUCCUGGCACGGCCAAUGGGAAUGUGGAUGUGUGCUGCAGAAGACAGGUUUACAGCAUUAAAACCUGGGAGAAAUAAUUACGUGAGCCACUUUGGAUGAAAUCAUAAUUAAGCCUUAUUGGGGUUUGAAAGUUUGGAUUUACAGUAUAUUUCACUCACCAUUUUUCAUUUUCAUGAACCUCUGGCAGUUUCUGCUUCCAUCUGGGAUGAGGAGAAAAGUAGCUAAAAGCACUAUGAAUUAAAUAGUGGGAAACCCAUAUACAUUCAGGAGGGCACGCUGGCAGUCUGGAGAGAAACCUUGUUCUUUAGGGACACAGAGCUCCAUUAUGUUUCUCAGGCUGAAGAGGAGCUGUGUCGUUUUGGGGGUUCAUUCAAAGCAAAACCCUUUUCCAUGAAAAGGAAAGAAAACAUCGGAGGUUCAGUUGUGUUUUCCCUGAGGAACCCUUGCCUUGAGGCAGGGCACAGCAGAAAAUACAAAAUUCCCAUCCUGGGCAAGAAUCAGAGAAAAAAAGGACCCUUUUCCCUUGAGAGGGAAGUCUGUUGCACUGGUCUGGACUAGUGACAACACAUGCAUUGCUAUUAUGCUUUCCAGUUUCUAUCCACUGCAGGAGCAGCAAGUUGGGUGCAAUAGGAAGGACGCCACUGAUAGCUUAUAAAACUGUGAGCACUGAAAAUGGUUAAUUUACUGUGUAAGGUUUUGCAGUAUUACUCCUCAGAUCAUUAGAACAUGCUACUAGCAAUCCCAAAAACUGACAUUUUAAAGGCCUUAGAUUUCAUUCCAAGUCUGAAAAGUGCCGCAAGAACUGAGACAUGGACUUUUGCAAACACGUAGGAGUCCAGGAGAGAGACCACGUCAGACAUGUGUUCAGCACUUGUCCAUGCACUGUGAAACAUCUGAGCCUGUUUGUGUGCUCACCACAGCCAUGAAAGGACUUCCCAGACUCCUGUGUCAGAGCUUUACACCUGCAUCCUACCCAGACCUCAGAGCCCACAGGAAAACUGAUUCUGCUCACUGUCACCUUCUUGCUUUUUCACAAGGUUGAGGAGGUAGAAACUCCAAGGUUGAUCUCACAACAGUGUGACUAUGCACUUGUUUGGAAUUUUGGCCAAUAUAUUAAUAAAUAACGUAAAUAUCAAAGAAUGCAAAAUAUUGUACAGUGGCAACACCCAUUACCUCCAGCACUGGCAAGGAUUCUAAUGUAUAAACAUCUAUGUAAUACAAAAAUUCCAUUAAUUUAGAUAAUAAAGAUUAAUACACUAACCUAAAUCCAUACAGUCCUGAAGAGAGUUUGAAUGUUUUUUCCAUUAGACUCUGGGAAAAAAACCAACAAACAAAUUCAAAAGCAAUUUCUAGUUUCAAGUCACUUCAAUAGAGAUUUGAUUUUUGGGUCACUUUAAGCAUAGAAGUUGGAUUGUAGCUGCCUUUGUGCCUCUUGUAUAGAAUUCAUAAAAUUAGCAUAUUAUUAUUAUAUAUAGAAUUCAUAAAAUUAGCAUGUUAUUACCAUCCAGAGGUUAUUAAGACAGACUAAAAAGAGUAGACUUUCUGGGAAGAGAAACAAUAAAAGUGGUGGAGAUGGAGGAUAUAAGUAGCUCCAAGGAUGGAUACCAGAGACUCAGCCUUCAAAAUAAGGGCUGUCAUGACCUCCUUUCUCACCCACAGUAUGUGCACAGU
Long non-coding RNA from Pseudopipra pipra, 9212 nucleotides. RefSeq lists it as uncharacterized. The record is from RefSeq and is a predicted model, not a curated record. Lineage: Eukaryota; Metazoa; Chordata; Aves; Passeriformes; Pipridae. The transcript is spliced from 9 exons.